CAAUAGCGUAUAUUAAAGUUGUUGCAGUUAAAAAGCUCGUAGUUGAAUUUCUGUCAGGAGUGACCGGGCCUUUGGAUGAACUUCCAUUGUUUUUUGCUCUGUUUGUCAUCUCUAGACAUCCUGAAAUAUUUUUUAAAAAUAUUUCUCUUUUACUGUUAGCAAAAUAGAGUGUUCCAAGCAAAGCGUAGUUUUGAAUACAUUAGAAUGGAAUAAUAAGAUAGGACUUUGGUGCUAUUUUGUUGGUUUGCACACCAAGGUAAUGAUUAAUAGGGACAGUUGGGGGUAUUCGUAUUUAAUUGUCAGAGGUGAAAUUCUUGGAUUUAUGAAAGACGAACUACUGCGAAAGCAUUUGCCAAGGAUGUUUUCAUUGA
This 371-nucleotide ribosomal RNA is filed under the name uncultured eukaryote. RNAcentral's name for it is "partial 18S ribosomal RNA". It matches the Rfam family "Eukaryotic small subunit ribosomal RNA", at positions 592 to 976 of the family's 1831-position model. The record is from RNAcentral.